ACACCCACCGCGCCGAGCCUCGUCAGGUGGGUGUCCCGCCGGAAGAUCUCCGGGCAGACGAGGACGGGGGAACCCAACGCGGCCACCACGGUGGCCUUGGGGUGAAGCCGGCUCACGCCGGCCGGGCACCUGACAGCCCGAACCCGACAGCUAACCCCGCAGGCGCCGGUCAGGAGAGGA
This 180-nucleotide small RNA is filed under the name Phycicoccus sp. RNAcentral describes it as "c-di-AMP sequence". The stretch from base 27 to 180 matches the Rfam family "c-di-AMP riboswitch aptamer (ydaO/yuaA leader)". Rfam says of the family: This family represents a conserved RNA structure found upstream of the ydaO and yuaA genes in Bacillus subtilis and related genes in other bacteria. The ydaO/yuaA element is thought to act as a genetic "off" switch for the ydaO and yuaA genes in its native state. Lineage: Bacteria; Bacillati; Actinomycetota; Actinomycetes; Micrococcales; Intrasporangiaceae. The record is from RNAcentral.